CAUUUAAAGAAAGCGUAAUAGCUCACUGGUCGAGUCGGCCUGCGCGGAAGAUGUAACGGGGCUAAACCAUGCACCGAAGCUGCGGCAGCGACACUCAGGUGUUGUUGGGUAGGGGAGCGUUCUGUAAGCCUGUGAAGGUGGCCUGUGAGGGUUGCUGGAGGUAUCAGAAGUGCGAAUGCUGACAUAAGUAACGAUAAAGCGGGUGAAAAGCCCGCUCGCCGGAAGACCAAGGGUUCCUGUCCAACGUUAAUCGGGGCAGGGUGAGUCGACCCCUAAGGCGAGGCCGAAAGGCGUAGUCGAUGGGAAACGGGUUAAUAUUCCCGUACUUGGUGUUACUGCGAAGGGGGGACGGAGAAGGCUAUGUUGGCCGGGCGACGGUUGUCCCGGUUUAAGCGUGUAGGUGUGUGUUCCAGGUAAAUCCGGUUCACUUUAACACUGAGGCGUGAUGACGAGGCACUACGGUGCUGAAGCAACAAAUGCCCUGCUUCCAGGAAAAGCCUCUAAGCAUCAGGUAACAUCAAAUCGUACCCCAAACCGA
Molecule: ribosomal RNA, 538 nt
Filed under: Salmonella enterica subsp. enterica serovar Agona
Lineage: Bacteria; Pseudomonadati; Pseudomonadota; Gammaproteobacteria; Enterobacterales; Enterobacteriaceae
Description: partial 23S ribosomal RNA
Rfam family: Bacterial large subunit ribosomal RNA
Source: RNAcentral